Molecule: long non-coding RNA, 369 nt
Organism: Anguilla rostrata (American eel)
Lineage: Eukaryota; Metazoa; Chordata; Actinopteri; Anguilliformes; Anguillidae
Exons: 5
Source: RefSeq, a predicted model, not a curated record
ACUGUGAGUAACAGCACCAGACAAGGUUACUGUCUCACUCAGUAACAGACAUACAGGACCAAUGUCACACUCAUAAACAGACAGGCAGGACUAAUGCCACACUCAGUAAACAGACAGACAGGACUAAUGCCACACUCAGUAAACAGACAGACAGUACUAAUGCCACACUCAUAAACAGACAGGCAGGACUAAUGCCACACUCAGUAACAGACAAACGAGACUACUGACACACUCAGUAAUGGAGAGACAGGACUAAUGCCACACUCAUAAACAGACAGACAGGACUAAUGCCACACUCAGUAACAGACACAGGACUAAUGCCACACACAUAAACAGACAGACAGGACUAAUGCCACAAUCAGUAAACAG